Molecule: ribosomal RNA, 253 nt
Filed under: uncultured bacterium
Lineage: Bacteria
Description: partial 16S ribosomal RNA
Rfam family: Bacterial small subunit ribosomal RNA
Source: RNAcentral
UACGAAGGACCCGAGCGUUAUCCGGAUUUAUUGGGUUUAAAGGGUGCGUAGGCGGAUUUAUAAGUCAGUGGUGAAAGCCUAUGGCUUAACUAUAGAAUUGCCAUUGAUACUGUAGGUCUUGAGUACAGUUGAGGUGGGCGGAAUGUGCAGUGUAGCGGUGAAAUGCUUAGAUAUUGCACAGAACACCAAUUGCGAAGGCAGCUCGCUAAGCUGUAACUGACGCUGAGGCACGAAAGUGUGGGUAGCAAACAGG